Molecule: ribosomal RNA, 253 nt
Filed under: uncultured bacterium
Lineage: Bacteria
Description: partial 16S ribosomal RNA
Rfam family: Bacterial small subunit ribosomal RNA
Source: RNAcentral
UACGGGGGGGGCAAGCGUUGUUCGGAAUUACUGGGCGUAAAGGGCUCGUAGGCGGCCAACUAAGUCAGACGUGAAAUCCCUCGGCUUAACCGGGGAACUGCGUCUGAUACUGGAUGGCUUGAGUGUGGGAGAGGGAUGCGGAAUUCCAGGUGUAGCGGUGAAAUGCGUAGAUAUCUGGAGGAACACCGGUGGCGAAGGCGGCAUCCUGGACCAACACUGACGCUGAGGAGCGAAAGCCUGGGGAGCAAACAGG